RNAcentral lists this ribosomal RNA (301 nucleotides) under uncultured bacterium. RNAcentral describes it as "partial 16S ribosomal RNA". It matches the Rfam family "Bacterial small subunit ribosomal RNA", at positions 509 to 807 of the family's 1533-position model. The record is from RNAcentral.
CAGUCGCCGCGGGAAUACGGGGGGGGCAAGUGUUAUUCGGAAUGACUGGGCGUAAAGGGCACGUAGGCGGCUUCUUAAGUCGGAUGUGAAAUCCCUGAGCUUAACUUAGGAAUUGCAUUCGAUACUGGGAAGCUAGAGUAUGGGAGAGGAUGGUAGAAUUCCAGGUGUAGCGGUGAAAUGCGUAGAGAUCUGGAGGAAUACCGAUGGCGAAGGCAGCCAUCUGGCCUAAUACUGACGCUGAGGUACGAAAGCAUGGGGAGCAAACAGGAUUAGAUACCCGCGUAGUCCCUGUCUCUUAUAC